GAAGUAAAUAUUUAUAACACUGAAAGAGGGCAAGAAACAAAAAAGCUGGCUGUUCAGACUACUUACUGUGUUGUUGAGAACAAGAGAGAAAGACGGGAAUUAAUAUUUUUCAGAGUUUAGCAACAGGAGUGAUUCAGAAACCAGCUUUGACGCGGCAUCUUAGAUAAAUGUACUAAGUUGGGUCAAACCUGGCAGGUAGAGCUGGAGGUGCUGAUAUGGACUUAAAUCUGUCCAGAAACACAAAUACUGCUCUUGAAAAACAUUCCCAUUUAUAAUACAUCUAUUUAGCACACCAGUCAAAUAAAAAGUGUAAUUUGUAUUUGUAUCACUAAACUGCACAAAGACACGGCAUUUAAAAAAAUUAAAAAAUGAGGAAGAAAAAACAAUGUUGUAGAAAAGGGAAGGGACUGGAUGGUUGUUCAGUGGUCUGAAAUAAUAUUUUACAUGAAAGUACAUUUAGCAUUUGGAGUUUCACUGUCAGAGAUUAUUUGUGGCGACAUGUCAUCUGCUAGUGUUGGUGUAUUAUGUUUUAAUAAGUCCAAAAGCCAGGAAGAUUUAGAGCUUAAAAGCUUCCUUCUGCUUAUAGGCUUCAUGGAGAGGCUGAUUUCAUUUUCAAACAAGACUUUCUUGCUGCCCACACUGACAAAAGUAGGAAUAGCUACUUUUAAUGACCAACUGAGAUGGAUUGGCUAUCAAACUGGUCUAGCCCUACGAAGAAACUAUGAGGUUAAGUUCAAGAGGAACAUAAGAAACACCAGAAUCAACAAUCCAGACAAACUGAAGGCAACUAGAAGCAACCAACCUGGGCUUUCUCAGCUGAGCUACAGGCUGAUCACCUCCAUGAAAUCCAUGCAAAACGAGCCAAGAGCAAGAAUACUUGGCAGCCCUGACUACAGACUCCUCUGGGAAAUCAGCCCACUUCCUGUUGCAUCGGAGGCAGAGGAGGAGCAGCGAGUGGAGGGAGAAAUCGGGAGGAUGCAAAGAGGCUGCUCUACAGUUAUUUAGUCAAGCUGCACUUUUCAUCCUUCCUGUCAUACCUGGUUCAGUUAGAUGCUCGGACAGCGCAUCUCGAAGCGACCCAGUGGACCCAGACCGAGAACAGCCGCCAGCAUCCUUAU
Molecule: long non-coding RNA, 1118 nt
Organism: Poecilia latipinna (sailfin molly)
Lineage: Eukaryota; Metazoa; Chordata; Actinopteri; Cyprinodontiformes; Poeciliidae
Exons: 3
Source: RefSeq, a predicted model, not a curated record